RNAcentral lists this ribosomal RNA (254 nucleotides) under uncultured bacterium. RNAcentral describes it as "partial 16S ribosomal RNA". It matches the Rfam family "Bacterial small subunit ribosomal RNA", at positions 524 to 776 of the family's 1533-position model. The record is from RNAcentral.
UACGUAGGGGGCGAGCGUUGUCCGGAUUCAUUGGGCGUAAAGCGCUUUAAGGCGGUUCGCUAAGUCGCGUGUGAAACCUCCAGGCUCAACCUAGAGACGCCACGCGAUACUGGCGUGACUAGAGUUCGGUAGGGGAUCACGGAAUUCCUGGUGUAGCGGUGAAAUGCGCAGAUAUCAGGAGGAACACCGGUGGCGAAGGCGGUGAUCUGGGCCGACACUGACGCUGUAGAGCGAAAGCGUGGGGAGCGAACAGG